This 253-nucleotide ribosomal RNA is filed under the name uncultured bacterium. RNAcentral's name for it is "partial 16S ribosomal RNA". It matches the Rfam family "Bacterial small subunit ribosomal RNA", at positions 524 to 776 of the family's 1533-position model. The record is from RNAcentral.
UACGUAGGGUGCAAGCGUUGUCCGGAAUUAUUGGGCGUAAAGAGCUCGUAGGCGGUCUGUCGCGUCGGCUGUGAAAACCCGAGGCUCAACCUCGGGCCUGCAGUCGAUACGGGCAAACUAGAGUACUGCAGGGGAGACUGGAAUUCCUGGUGUAGCGGUGAAAUGCGCAGAUAUCAGGAGGAGCACCGGUGGCGAAGGCGGGUCUCUGGGCAGUAACUGACGCUGAGGAGCGAAAGCGUGGGGAGCGAACAGG